CAACUCCAUCCUCGUGGACCUGCUGGGGAUUGCGGUGGGCCACAUCUACUACUUCCUGCAGGACGUCUUCCCCAACCAGCCCGGAGGCAAGAGGCUCCUGCAGACCCCUGGCUUCCUGGUUCUCAUCCUGGCCCCACCAGGGCCUUGGGCAAGUCCUGCCCACCAUAGGCCU
RNAcentral lists this small RNA (172 nucleotides) under Pan troglodytes (chimpanzee). RNAcentral describes it as "processed transcript". The record is from RNAcentral. Lineage: Eukaryota; Metazoa; Chordata; Mammalia; Primates; Hominidae.